This 1497-nucleotide ribosomal RNA is filed under the name Lactiplantibacillus plantarum. RNAcentral describes it as "partial 16S ribosomal RNA". It matches the Rfam family "Bacterial small subunit ribosomal RNA". Lineage: Bacteria; Bacillati; Bacillota; Bacilli; Lactobacillales; Lactobacillaceae. The record is from RNAcentral.
ACAUGGCUCAGGACGAACGCUGGCGGCGUGCCUAAUACAUGCAAGUCGAACGAACUCUGGUAUUGAUUGGUGCUUGCAUCAUGAUUUACAUUUGAGUGAGUGGCGAACUGGUGAGUAACACGUGGGAAACCUGCCCAGAAGCGGGGGAUAACACCUGGAAACAGAUGCUAAUACCGCAUAACAACUUGGACCGCAUGGUCCGAGCUUGAAAGAUGGCUUCGGCUAUCACUUUUGGAUGGUCCCGCGGCGUAUUAGCUAGAUGGUGGGGUAACGGCUCACCAUGGCAAUGAUACGUAGCCGACCUGAGAGGGUAAUCGGCCACAUUGGGACUGAGACACGGCCCAAACUCCUACGGGAGGCAGCAGUAGGGAAUCUUCCACAAUGGACGAAAGUCUGAUGGAGCAACGCCGCGUGAGUGAAGAAGGGUUUCGGCUCGUAAAACUCUGUUGUUAAAGAAGAACAUAUCUGAGAGUAACUGUUCAGGUAUUGACGGUAUUUAACCAGAAAGCCACGGCUAACUACGUGCCAGCAGCCGCGGUAAUACGUAGGUGGCAAGCGUUGUCCGGAUUUAUUGGGCGUAAAGCGAGCGCAGGCGGUUUUUUAAGUCUGAUGUGAAAGCCUUCGGCUCAACCGAAGAAGUGCAUCGGAAACUGGGAAACUUGAGUGCAGAAGAGGACAGUGGAACUCCAUGUGUAGCGGUGAAAUGCGUAGAUAUAUGGAAGAACACCAGUGGCGAAGGCGGCUGUCUGGUCUGUAACUGACGCUGAGGCUCGAAAGUAUGGGUAGCAAACAGGAUUAGAUACCCUGGUAGUCCAUACCGUAAACGAUGAAUGCUAAGUGUUGGAGGGUUUCCGCCCUUCAGUGCUGCAGCUAACGCAUUAAGCAUUCCGCCUGGGGAGUACGGCCGCAAGGCUGAAACUCAAAGGAAUUGACGGGGGCCCGCACAAGCGGUGGAGCAUGUGGUUUAAUUCGAAGCUACGCGAAGAACCUUACCAGGUCUUGACAUACUAUGCAAAUCUAAGAGAUUAGACGUUCCCUUCGGGGACAUGGAUACAGGUGGUGCAUGGUUGUCGUCAGCUCGUGUCGUGAGAUGUUGGGUUAAGUCCCGCAACGAGCGCAACCCUUAUUAUCAGUUGCCAGCAUUAAGUUGGGCACUCUGGUGAGACUGCCGGUGACAAACCGGAGGAAGGUGGGGAUGACGUCAAAUCAUCAUGCCCCUUAUGACCUGGGCUACACACGUGCUACAAUGGAUGGUACAACGAGUUGCGAACUCGCGAGAGUAAGCUAAUCUCUUAAAGCCAUUCUCAGUUCGGAUUGUAGGCUGCAACUCGCCUACAUGAAGUCGGAAUCGCUAGUAAUCGCGGAUCAGCAUGCCGCGGUGAAUACGUUCCCGGGCCUUGUACACACCGCCCGUCACACCAUGAGAGUUUGUAACACCCAAAGUCGGUGGGGUAACCUUUUAGGACCAGCCGCCUAAGUGGGACAGAUGAUUAGGUG